UACGUAGGGUGCGAGCGUUAAUCGGAAUUACUGGGCGUAAAGCGUGCGCAGGCGGUCCGCAAAGUCUGAUGUGAAAGCCCCGGGCUCAACCUGGGAACUGCAUUGGAAACUAACGGGCUCGAGUGUGGCAGAGGGGAGUGGAAUUCCACGUGUAGCAGUGAAAUGCGUAGAGAUGUGGAGGAACACCGAUGGCGAAGGCAGCCCCCUGGGCUAACACUGACGCUCAGGCACGAAAGCGUGGGGAGCAAACAGG
RNAcentral lists this ribosomal RNA (253 nucleotides) under uncultured bacterium. Its description in RNAcentral is "partial 16S ribosomal RNA". It matches the Rfam family "Bacterial small subunit ribosomal RNA", at positions 524 to 776 of the family's 1533-position model. The record is from RNAcentral.